GACGAACGCUGGCGGCGUGCCUAAUACAUGCAAGUUGAGCGCUGAAGGUUGGUACUUGUACCGACUGGAUGAGCAGCGAACGGGUGAGUAACGCGUGGGGAAUCUGCCUUUGAGCGGGGGACAACAUUUGGAAACGAAUGCUAAUACCGCAUAAAAACUUUAAACACAAGUUUUAAGUUUGAAAGAUGCAAUUGCAUCACUCAAAGAUGAUCCCGCGUUGUAUUAGCUAGUUGGUGAGGUAAAGGCUCACCAAGGCGAUGAUACAUAGCCGACCUGAGAGGGUGAUCGGCCACAUUGGGACUGAGACACGGCCCAAACUCCUACGGGAGGCAGCAGUAGGGAAUCUUCGGCAAUGGACGAAAGUCUGACCGAGCAACGCCGCGUGAGUGAAGAAGGUUUUCGGAUCGUAAAACUCUGUUGGUAGAGAAGAACGUUGGUGAGAGUGGAAAGCUCAUCAAGUGACGGUAACUACCCAGAAAGGGACGGCUAACUACGUGCCAGCAGCCGCGGUAAUACGUAGGUCCCGAGCGUUGUCCGGAUUUAUUGGGCGUAAAGCGAGCGCAGGUGGUUUAUUAAGUCUGGUGUAAAAGGCAGUGGCUCAACCAUUGUAUGCAUUGGAAACUGGUAGACUUGAGUGCAGGAGAGGAGAGUGGAAUUCCAUGUGUAGCGGUGAAAUGCGUAGAUAUAUGGAGGAACACCGGUGGCGAAAGCGGCUCUCUGGCCUGUAACUGACACUGAGGCUCGAAAGCGUGGGGAGCAAACAGGAUUAGAUACCCUGGUAGUCCACGCCGUAAACGAUGAGUGCUAGAUGUAGGGAGCUAUAAGUUCUCUGUAUCGCAGCUAACGCAAUAAGCACUCCGCC
This 862-nucleotide ribosomal RNA is filed under the name Lactococcus lactis subsp. lactis. Its description in RNAcentral is "bacterial SSU rRNA". It matches the Rfam family "Bacterial small subunit ribosomal RNA", at positions 28 to 873 of the family's 1533-position model. Lineage: Bacteria; Bacillati; Bacillota; Bacilli; Lactobacillales; Streptococcaceae. The record is from RNAcentral.